RNAcentral lists this non-coding RNA (115 nucleotides) under Alkalihalophilus pseudofirmus. Its description in RNAcentral is "Bacillus pseudofirmus SAM-I sequence". It matches the Rfam family "SAM riboswitch aptamer (S box leader)". From Rfam's summary of the family: The SAM riboswitch is found upstream of a number of genes which code for proteins involved in methionine or cysteine biosynthesis in Gram-positive bacteria. The SAM riboswitch acts at the level of transcription termination control. Lineage: Bacteria; Bacillati; Bacillota; Bacilli; Caryophanales; Bacillaceae. The record is from RNAcentral. RNAcentral also lists the same sequence under 1 other name.
UCCUUAUCAAGAGUGGUGGAGGGACUGACCCGAUGAAACCCGGCAACCGGUUUGUAUGCCUAUACAAACAAAGGUGCUACGUUCAGCAGAAUGAAUUCAUUCUGAAAGAUAAGGG